Non-coding RNA from Physcomitrium patens, 595 nucleotides. The record is from RefSeq and is a predicted model, not a curated record. NCBI's taxonomy places the organism in Eukaryota, Viridiplantae, Streptophyta, Bryopsida, Funariales, Funariaceae.
AACAUGUUCAUCACUUUACGUAAAACAUUCAUGCGGUUCUAUGAGAUUCAACUCCAUAGAACCCACAGAAAGUCUAUCACUCUCUCUUGCAAAACUCCACAAAGAGAGUUUCUCCCGGACAAUCUGGUAACAAAAAUUUGCUCUGUAGUUGAAUCUCCAUGGAAACAUCGUGGUCGAAACUCACGAAUGUUAUGGCCACACACAGCACUUGCAGGUUUCACAUAGACGAACGAGCUAGAUUAGGAGUGUGUGAGGCUGAUUUUUGAAGAGGAAACUUGCAGGCAAGAGCAUAUUGUGCAAUAUGAAUACUCCUCCUGAUCAUGUUUCAGCUGACCGAAAUUAAAUUUAAUGUCAAGUCGAUGUGAGGAAUUGAUACAGUAGUGCCCACAUCAGAAGCAAAUGGUGCACGUAUCAGGAGGCCCAGAGCGGCCAGUCAGUCCGGCUUGCAACUCCAAAUCGGGUGAGGGAAGAAAGUGCAUCUGUAAGGUAUGCACCUGCGGCUUCCACAAAUGCCCCCAGAAGCACACAUCCGUCUUCACCAAAUUCGGCGACAAGACAAUUUCAGAAUAUUGCGCCAAGUACCCACAAUGGCCAG